GAAUUGCGAUAAGUAAUGUGAAUUGCAGAAUUCAGUGAAUCAUCGAAUCUUUGAACGCACCUUGCGCCCCUUGGCUAUUCCGAGGGGCAUGCCUGUUUGAGUAUCAUGAACACCUCAACUCUCACGGUUUGCCGUGGUGAGCUUGGAUGUUGGGGGUUUUGCUGGCCUGUGGUUGGCUCCUCUCAAAUGAAUCAGCUUUCCAGUGUUUGGUGGCGCCAUGGGUGUGAUAACUAUCUACGCUCGUGACUGUCUGCCAGGUAACCUUCCGCAAUGGGGGUUUGCUGGAGCUCACAAAUGUCUCUCCUCAGUGAAGACAGCCUUUUGAACGUUCGAUCUCAAAUCAGGUAGGACUACCCGCUGAACUUAAGCAUAUCAAUAAGCGGAGGAAAAAGAAACUAACAAAGGAUUCCCCUAGU
This 416-nucleotide ribosomal RNA is filed under the name uncultured Thelephoraceae. RNAcentral describes it as "eukaryotic LSU rRNA". The stretch from base 1 to 106 matches the Rfam family "5.8S ribosomal RNA", at positions 50 to 154 of the family's 154-position model. The record is from RNAcentral. Lineage: Eukaryota; Fungi; Basidiomycota; Agaricomycetes; Thelephorales; Thelephoraceae.